GUAGGUGAACCUGCGGAAGGAUCAUUAACACGAAAUUUUUAAUUAAAUCUAAAAAACCCAAAAUGUCAACUUAUUAUUAUUAUCCCUAAUUAAUGUAUUCGUAUAUAUAAUAUAAUUAUAUAUGCCGAUUCCUUUUUUAGGCUAACUUUUUAUAAUUAUUUUUAUUAUAAUACCACUUCAAUGUUUUUUUUCUUUCUAAAAACAUUCAACUCUCGUUGUUUCACUCAUCAUCAUCAUCAUCAUCAUCCAU
This 250-nucleotide unclassified non-coding RNA is filed under the name plant metagenome. RNAcentral describes it as "partial contains small subunit ribosomal RNA, internal transcribed spacer 1, and 5.8S ribosomal RNA". The record is from RNAcentral.